This 244-nucleotide ribosomal RNA is filed under the name uncultured Staphylococcus sp. Its description in RNAcentral is "partial 16S ribosomal RNA". It matches the Rfam family "Bacterial small subunit ribosomal RNA", at positions 96 to 334 of the family's 1533-position model. Lineage: Bacteria; Bacillati; Bacillota; Bacilli; Caryophanales; Staphylococcaceae. The record is from RNAcentral.
CGGCGGACGGGUGAGUAACACGUGGGUAACCUACCUAUAAGACUGGGACAACUUCGGGAAACCGGAGCUAAUACCGGAUAAUAUGUUGAACCGCAUGGUUCAAUAGUGAAAGAUGGUUUUGCUAUCACUUAUAGAUGGACCCGCGCCGUAUCAGCUAGUUGGUGAGGUAACGGCUUACCAAGGCAACGAUACGUAGCCGACCUGAGAGGGUGAUCGGCCACACUGGAACUGAGACACGGUCCAG